GAUGAACGCUGGCGGCGUGCCUAACACAUGCAAGUCGAACGGGAGCCCUUGGAUUCGUCUGGGGUGAGAGUGGCGAACGGGUGAGUAACACGUAGGUGACCUGCCCCAAAGAGGGGGAUAACGGCUCGAAAGGGCUGCUAAUACCCCAUGUGGUCGUAGAGGCUAGAGGCUUUACGUCUAAAGGAGUAAUCCACUUCGGGGAUGGGCCUGCGUCCCAUCAGCUAGUUGGUAAGGUAAAAGCCUACCAAGGCGAAGACGGGUUAGGGGGCCUGAGAGGGUGAUCCCCCACACUGGCACUGAAACACGGGCCAGACACCUACGGGUGGCAG
This 329-nucleotide ribosomal RNA is filed under the name uncultured Chloroflexota bacterium. RNAcentral's name for it is "bacterial SSU rRNA". It matches the Rfam family "Bacterial small subunit ribosomal RNA", at positions 28 to 351 of the family's 1533-position model. Lineage: Bacteria; Bacillati; Chloroflexota. The record is from RNAcentral.